This 28-nucleotide small RNA is filed under the name Bombyx mori (domestic silkworm). Its description in RNAcentral is "ovarian small RNA-4725". Lineage: Eukaryota; Metazoa; Arthropoda; Insecta; Lepidoptera; Bombycidae. The record is from RNAcentral.
CAGGAGAAAAUCGCCGGAUCCCCGGGGC